Molecule: long non-coding RNA, 8693 nt
Filed under: Oryza sativa (Asian cultivated rice)
Lineage: Eukaryota; Viridiplantae; Streptophyta; Magnoliopsida; Poales; Poaceae
Description: long non-coding RNA (OSAT_LNC001910)
Source: RNAcentral
GUCGUCGUGCUGCAGCGGGGUGAGGACCCUCAACGGCAAGGCCUCGUCGUCGGCCGACCGCCGCACCGCCUGCAGCUGCCUCAAGAACAUGGCCUCCUCCUUCAGGAACCUCAACAUGGGCAACGCCGCCUCCAUCCCCAGCAAAUGCGGCGUCUCCGUCGCCUUCCCCAUCAGCACCUCCGUCGACUGCUCCAAGUAUUCUACAUUUUCUCUCUCUCUAUCUUCAUUUGCUCCAUCCAUGUGUUGGCCUAAUUAAGCUAAUUUCCUCUUUCCUUUUUUAUGCAGGAUCAACUAAUUACUAGCUUGAUCAUCUCCAGCUGAGAUCGAUAUGUAUGGGAAGAUCUAGAGAGUGACUGUUCACUGCUAGCUUUGUUUAUUUUCUUGCUGCAUGCGUACGUGCACUAUAUAAUGUAAUAAUGCGUUUCAAUGUUUACAUGUAGUGUACUAUGUACACUACUUAUAUAUUUUUCAUAUAUAAUAAUCUAAUAAUGAUAAUAAUGUCGUACUGAUACAUGCGUACACACACUUGAACUUGCUGUGCCCCGUUUUUUUACUUCAAUAAGUAAUAGUAUAUGGAUGGAAUGAUAUGAGCUGUUAUUAAUUUGAAAAAAUGCCAAAUGGAAUUCUGGAAUAUAAUGAUGGAUCAGUGACGAGGCUCCAUGCGACCACGUAGUGAUGAACGUACUUCCGUACAUACGUUUUUUAUGGGCCGGCAGCACACCAUGCCUGAAAACUGAAAGAAAAAAAAACGUAAUGCAGACAUGCAUAUAUGGCCCAUCAAUUCAUUUCUUGGAUCCUAGCCCAUUAAACAAUCCAAAGGGAGAAGGAAAAAGUGCACUGAAGGUCCCUCAACUUGUCAUCGAGUUACAAAAUCAUCCUCCAACCACAAAACCAGAUAUAUAACAUCUCUCAAUUAACAAAACCGGGUCACUUUAGAUCCUCUAGCGGUUUUAACCCCGGUUUUAUCCUACGUGGCAGCUGAGUCAGCAUGGGACCCACGUGAACCCCGCAUGUCAGGGUGACCACGUCAUCACACACCAUCUCUCUCUCUCUUUCUCAGUUUCUCCCCUCUUCUCGUCUUGAAGACCUGGGCAAGCUCCUGGAGGACAUCCGCUUCUUGGUCGCCGCCAGCGGCGGCGGCGCUCGCUCCGGCGCGACAUCGGCCGCAUCGUCCGAUCCCUCCAGACGCGGCGGGGCGGUGGCGGUGCGACGGUUCCACGGCCACUGCAGACCCCGCUGAGGUGAACCGCUGAUGCCCACGCCGUCAGUGAAGCGGUAGGGCGGCCUUCUCCUCGUCCGACGAUAGGGGUGUCCGGCGCCGCGGGUGGGGGCGACGAGGCAGGGUUCUUGGAGCAGCGGAGGAGGCGGUGGGUGCCCCAGCUGAGGUUGGGGAACGAGAAGCGGUGAAGCCACGUGCGCGACAGCGACGGCGUCCUCGCUCUCCCUGUCCCCUACCCGCCAGGCCCCGACGCGGCACGAUGGCAGCGGCUGCUCGGUCGCCGCCUUGCAUGACUGCGCAGGUCCGGGGAUGUCGCAUGGACGGCCAUCCGCACGGCGUCGAUGACCUCCGCGGCGCCGCUCGGGCCGGGGGACUUCAAGCUUGUGCGACGCAUCGGCGGCCGCGACAUCGGGUGUAACACCCUACCUCCAAAAUCCGCAUUAGUCCGCUCUACACGUUGAGCGGACCCACGUUUGCAUGGUAUCCCGCUUACACUUUCGUCCUCGCUUCGUGUAAAAGGGUUAACCCGGGGAUACCAUGGUUGGAGCACCAAGGCUUAUAAGCAGGCCCUCACCCACCUAAACUUCCAAGGUGGUACUAAACCACCACUAUACAACCACUUCUGGGCCACAUGGGCCAAAUACACACUACUAGGCUUCAAACGGGCUGGGGUGUUACAUCGGGACGGUGUACCUGUGCCGCCUCCGGAGCUCACCGGCAUCCGCGGCAGUGAGGGAGAGCUGUGCCUGUACGCGAUGAAGGUGGUGGACCGGUGGGCGGUGGCGAGGAAGCAGAAGCUAGAGCGUGCGGCGGCAAAGAAGCGGAUCUUGCGGCAGCUCGACCACCCCUUCUUCCUCCACCCUCUUCGCCGACUUCGACGCCACGACUCACUUCUCCUGUGUCGUCAUGGAGUUUUGCGCCGGCGGCGACCUCCACUCUCUCAUCCACCGCAUGCCAUCCCGCCGCUUCCCGCUCCCCUCCGCCCACUUCUACGCAGCCGAGGUGCUCCUCGCCAUCAAGUACCUCCACAUGAUAGGCGACAUCGACGACGAGCAGGAUGACACGGCUGGCGGUGGCGCGUCCUGCUUCCCAGACCACCUCCUCCAGUUCAAGCGGCGGCGGCGGCGCCUCUGCGGUUCGUGGCCGAGCCGGUGAAGGCGAGGUCGUGCUCGUUUGUCGGGACGCACGACUCACGAAUAUGUCGCCCCCAAGGUGGCGAGCGGCGACGCACAUGGCACCGCCGUGGAGUCGUGCAAGGCGGCGUUCGCAACGCCGCCACGAAGCCGGCCUGCCCAGAGUCCAGAGUCCAGAGAGAAGAGAGAGAGAGGAGGAGGAGGAAAGGAGAGGCUGGCCUACUUACGUAGCAGCUUGACAUGUGGGGCCCACAUGGGUCCCACCCUGACUCAACCGCCACGUCGGACAAAACCGGGAUCAAAACCACCGAGGGACCUAGUUUGCACUGGUUUUGUAAGUUGUGGGAUGCGCUGUAUCUGGUUUUGCGGUUGAGGGACUAUUUUGUAACUCGAUGACAAGUUGAGGGACCUUCGGUGUACUUUUUCCAAGGGAGAAUGCUCUAUAUCCUUUUACCUCCUUUUGCCAGGCCCAUGCCACACAAAAUUUGAUUAGUUAAUCAGAAAAAAAGGGGUAAAAUGGAAAAAAAGAAGAAGAAAAGAACAAAACAAAGAACUAUUGUACACAGUUCAAUGGGAUGUUUAUUGUAAGUAGUAGUCCUCACAUAAGUUUGUGUAUACCCACUCCCCUUCUCUCGCCUUAAUUAUUAUGAAAAAAAAACUACUCUCACCUUUAUGUGAUACAUUAGUUCUGUAUAGCAGGCUCUUCAUUUGUCCCCUCUACUCCCCACUCCAUAGUUAUUAAGACCGGACCGGAGAAUUAACCAGUCGAGCUCUCGGUUCACUAGUCUGGUGGUUCGACCAUUGGUUAGGCCGGUCCAACCGCGGUUUAAUGUACAAUAUGACGUAAAUGUUUGGUACCAACAAAAGUGAAGAGAUAGAGGGUUGGGUAGUGGGUGCUCUUCUCAGCCAUGCGACCCAAGGUCGAUUUUUGAUGGAGUUUGCUCAGUGGGCUAAGGCUUUUGAUGGAGUUUGCUCAUUGGGCCUCGCCUCAGCCCAUCAACAAAAGCCUAGUAGCUUGUUACCCUGUCUGACCACUUCGGUUCAAAGCCGGGUUUAUAUAAAAAUCGCCCGGUUCAAUGGGUUUUCCCCGGUUUAAGGGGACUGGACCGGCCGAGGUCUUACCACUCCGGUUCAAAGCUCGGUUUAUAUAAAAACUGCACGAUUCAAUGGGUCUCCCCGGUUCAAUUGCGCAGUCGAUCUUUUAAGGGGACCAGACCGACCGAGGCCAUGGUUAGGGUUUUUCCCGGUCGGACCGCCAGUCCGGUCCUAAUAACUAUGCCCCACUCUUUCCUCUUAAUGUGAAAGAAUAUUUUUGUCACCAAGAUUUAUAUUCUUUUUAUGUUCAUAAACAAGGGAUACUUCUUUUUUCAUCGUAAGAGGAUGAGGUGGCCUCUCAAAAAAAAAGAGCGGGUGUGGGGAAGGGGAGUUACAAGAUAAUUUUUAUACUCUAGAAAGGUUGAGAGUAAUCUUUUUUUUCGUCAGGAGGUUAGAGAGUGCCAAAGAGGAGGGUAGGAACGAGAGGGACAGGAGGGGUCCGAGGGGAGUUUGGAGAGUGUAGGACAAAACCAAUGCUUGUGAGAGUAUAUUUUUUUUACAUCACGAGGGAAAGGGAGGGAAGAGGGAUAGGUGGGCAACUAUGAGGCUCAAUGUGUUAUUUACCGCUAAAAUAAAACUUAUCGCUUUUUUUAUUUCUCCCCUUAUUUUUCUUAUCUACUUGUGUUCUAUUCAUUGACCUGGGUCCUAGUUGGCUAGCUAGCAUUUUGUAAUAAAUCUAUCAUAUAUUUAUUGAGUUUCAACCCAAUAAAAAGAUUAAAGGACUUGUUUGGGAUGGAAAAAAAACCCUAGCCCAUAUAUUCGUAAGGACAUCCCAAGAAUUUAUUUCAAUUUACUGGUGCACCUCAAAUCAUAAUUUCAACUCUCAUCGUUUGAUAUAUAGCUAAUAGCCGUAAAAAAAAAGAACAGAGCAACUAAAAUAAUUUACAGGAUAAAACUUGUAUAUCCAUGUUGGCAAUUUAAAACACAAUGGCAAAAAACAAACCAAGAUAGAGGAAACCUGAAAAUCAACUCUCGAAUUAUGGUUGAAAAUUCAAAUUUUUGAUGUGGUUGAUAAGCCAAUUUGCAAACGCGCGGUGAUAAUAUUGUAAACGCUACAAACUGAUAGUUAAGGUCCUUGUGUUCGGGUGGCUGCCUAGGUUCUGUCGUUGACAUCUCCACUGCAAAUAGCCAUUGAUGUCACGAAAAAUUGGUCGACCACUGGAAAACAUUAUUAGUCAUCCAGACUUCAUGAUAACGCUCUUUCUCUUGUGAUAGAACCUUUUUAUCUUGGUUCAAGCCAUAGUAUAGGCACAUAUGCUUGUUUCUUUUAGAUUUAAUCUCUUGAGAGAAUAUAUAUAUAUAUACUCUACCUACAUAUACAGAUACGUUCAACAGUAAAACGUGUGCCCACCGAAGUUAUGUGAGUUAGGCCUCUAAUCUUAUUUAUCAUAUGCUAGUGAGCGUGUGACGUCCAAUUCUUUUUUUUCAAACUCUCUGUAUUAGGCCUAGUUUAGUUCCCAACUUUUUCUUCAAACUUCCAACUUUUCCAUCACAUCAAAACUUUCUACACACAUAAACUUCUAACUUUUCCAUCACAUCAUUCCAAUUUCAAUCAAACUUCUAAUUUUGACGUGAACUAAGCACACCCUUAUUUCAAAGGGAAUAGUGCUCUAUCAUACAAGCCUGAUGAAAACACCAAGGUUGUGUUUAGUUCACACUAAAAUUAAAAGUUUGGUUAAAAUUGGAACGAUGUGGCGGAAAAGUUAGAAGUUUGUGUAUGCAGGAAAAUUUUGAUGUGAUGAAAAAAUUAAAAAUUUGAAGAAAUAUUUUGAAACUAACACGGGCCAAGAUGAACCGAUGGUAGCCCUCUUUAAUUUGUCUAACGUCUACAUAGAAAGUUGGCCAUGGGUUGCUGUAGGUGGCAUCAUGAUAUGCAUUAAUACCUAGGAGGAGGAGUAACGGUUGGCAGGUAGAUCGAUACGAGAAUGACAUGAACAUAAUGGAUCGUCGGCUUCAAUUUGGAAGCCACCUGCUGGCGACCGACAGCCGUCCCGGCCGGGAGGGAUAACCUACGUCAACGAUAAAUAAAUACUCCUACUAACUGGAGUAGCUAGCAGCUUGGUCUUGUGAAAAAGAAAGAUAAAAUUCUACUACUCCAUAGUGUACGUGGUCUUAUCUAGAGCUUAAUUGGAUUGCAAAAUAGCAUACAGCUGAUUGAUUAAAAACUACGUUAAACUUAGUAACUGAAAAUUCUUAGAUUUAAUUAAUUGAUCGAUCUGCUGAGAGCUUUGCAUUGUGGAGCACAUGCCAAGCCAGCUAGUACAUUUUUGUGAUAAGAAACAUGAAGUUUCGGUUUAACCUCUUAAAUACAUGCAUGCAUGGUUGAUACAAUACACGUCCUGAACAUGAAUAAAUACUACUAAAUAUAUGUUAUCCGAAUUUUAUCAUAUAAUAUAUUUGGAUUAGUUUCUUAAUAUGACUUUUAUUCUUUUAUCCCAAUUGUAUAUCAAUCUCUUGUGCACUAACACUGGUGGAGAAGUGUUUUUUAGUCCCGUUUUAUAACCCCCUUAGUCCCGGUUUUUAAACCGGGACUACCAAUUCGAGACUAAAGAUCGCUAUCUUUAGUUCCGGGUGAAAAAACCGGGACUAAAGAUCGAUCUUUAGUCCCGGUUGGUGUUAUCAACCAGGACUAAAGAGAGGGUAGCGGCGGUCCAGCUGGUCCUUUUUUUCUUUUUUAUUUUCUCCCGAAUCGAGUGGUAUGCAUAUCGUCAAAUCAAACCCCAAAUCCACAUCACAACUCCACAGCACGAUUCACAAAUUCAUCACAAAUUCAUUCACAAUAUCCAUUCACAAUAUCACAAAUAUAUUCACAAUAUUGAUUCACAGGUUCAUUGACAACAUCGAGUCACAUACUCAUUCACAACAUCCCAGAUUCAUUCACAACAUCGAUUCAUAGAUUCAUUCACAGAUCAAAACAUCCAAACCACAAAUAAAAAAAACAAAAAAAAUCGACUCACCGGGCGGCCUCCAAUCCCGUCGCCGGCCGGCCACCCAUCUCGCCGCUUCCCCUCCGGCCGGAUCUGGGGGAGGGGAGGGCGAGGCCGCAGGCGACUGGCCUCCAUCCCGCCGGCCCGCGCCGGGCCGCCGCUGGCCGGCUUCCAUCCCGCUGGCCCACGCCCGGCCGCCGUCGGCUGCCUCUGCAAGGGGGAGGGGAGGAGGAGAGGGGGUGAGAGAAGAGCAAGGGGAGGAUGGAAGGAGAAGAAAAAGAGAUAAGCAUGGAGAGAUGUUGCGCAUGCACAUGAUUCAGAGAGAGAAGCGUGGGCUGGUGCAUGCGCUUUCUUCCCGGUUGGUGUUACCAACCGGGACUAAAGAUCCGGGGGCCUGACAAGGUAUGAUAGGUUUAGAACCGAUAUCAAAUAUAUCCGCUGUAGCCACCAACCGGGACUAAAUCUUUAGUCCCGGUUUUUAGUGGAACCGAGACUAUUGUAAAUUUCGGUCGACCGAUUAAAGAUGAUUUCUCCACCAGUGUAAAAUGUGAUGUGCUAUUGAGAUAUUUCACUGUGUUUCCUAAAAAUACUCAUCGUCGUUAAUUGUUGGUUGGCAUUCGUAGUUUAUUUUGUAGCAGCUGAGCAAUUUUAAUUAGUCUAUUUAGCUUGUAAGAUUCUUAUAUUUCUUAGCAAUAGCCGAGCGCAUUAUUGGGCUAUAGUGUAACCAGGUGAAGCGUACGCGUGUGCAUAAGUUGUCCUUGUGGUUGAAAGAAGAAUACUGGAAGGAUCGUUGGAUGUUACUGCUGAUAUGAUGGACACUUGGAUCCAAACAUCAUGAAUGCGCUCAACUACUUGCAUGUUCCAAGUGUACAACAUGCAUGCUAGCUGCUACAAACGACUAGCUCUGUUAGGCCGCUGCUAAUCAUUUUCUCAUCACUAAUACUAACACUGUGUGACUAGCUAGCUAAACCAGCCCUAACAACCAACCACCCUGAUUCAAUUGAAUUGAAUUGAAUAACAUUAGACGCACCGACGACUAAGUGCAGUCCCAACCCUCCACCUAAAAUGGUGUCUAUAUAUGGCAUUAACUAAAUUGUCAUGUAUGACUUUUAACUUAUGUGGCACUAUAUUAAUAUAUUAAUUAAGAAGGAGAGUGAAGAGAGGAAGAAACUGGGUCUCAUGCAAGACACAGCUUCAACACGAGAAUCUAUGCACUAGACACUAUCAAGUUUUGCAUUGGAAGAGAAUAGUGUCUUUAUAAUAGUUGAAGAAUAAAUAUGAUUGGUAGAGAAGAGAGAUGAUGUAUUUAUUAAUGGCCCACUUUAAGAAAUCAUGGGUUGUGGAGUGUAGUUUUUAUUGUGAUGUCUUAUUGACAUGACACCAUAGACACUGCUUAUGGACAUUAUGGGUUGGAACUGCCCUAAGAACGGUGCCUAAACACUAGCACUCCAAGCUUAAUUACACUAUGUGUACGCCAAUUAGAAAAUGUCAUGAAACAUUCUAUAAACAAAUUAGAUAUUUACUCCUAAUAGUAUUAUACAUAUCUGGAAAGUCUCAUACUCAAAUUUAAUAUAUUUUAGCUGUAACAUAAAGUGAAAAAACCCGACAGUUUUAAGGGUAAAAAUGUCAGGAUUUUAUCUUUCUUGUUAUGGCUAAAAUAUAAUGAAACUAAAGAUAAGAUUUCACAUAUAGGUGUAAAACUAUUGGAAGUAUGUGUCUAAUUUUUUCUAGAACUUUUGUGGCAUUUGCUAAUUGAUAUGUAUAGUGUGUACAUAAGUAAAGCUUCUGUGUAUAGGAUAUGUUCUCUAAUUAUAAUUAUAGGUGGACUAUAUAUUCCACGUAGUAACUACAUUUGACUUGGUCGAUGCAUCGGCACAGAUGAAAUCAUAGCUACUUAAAGCCCCCUACAUUCCCGGGAAUUCUCAUCGAUCGAUCUCACCUGCAGCAGCAAACGAGCACCACACACCAGCAGCAGCAGCAAGUCGAUCGAUCGUCAGCACACACGACCAAGAUCGAGAUGGCCCGUGCACAGCUGGUGUUGGUCGCCCUCGUGGCAGCGGCUCUGCUCCUGGCGGGCCCACACACCACCAUGGCCGCCAUCAGCUGCGGCCAGGUCAACUCCGCCGUGUCGCCCUGCCUCAGCUACGCCCGCGGCGGCUCCGGCCCGUCGGCGGCCUGCUGCAGCGGCGUCAGGAGCCUCAACUCCGCCGCCAGCACCACCGCCGACCGCCGCACCGCCUGCAACUGCCUCAAGAACGUGGCCGGCAGCAUCAGCGGCCUCAACGCCGGCAAUGCCGCCAGCAUCCCCUCCAAGUGCGG